UUUUUCCUUAAUCAGGCUAAGCAAUUGAUUUUUUUUUUUUUUUUUGAAAGUUCAGCCUUAAGUCAGGAGUUGGAAUUUCAUCUGUCUGUAGACUUUGUGGGACUGGUAAGUAGUAGCUAGCAGGGUUGCUCUUGUUGCAACUGUGUCUUGUUUUAUACUGCUUCCCAUGGUCGACAACUGUAGAGUGCCCAUUCUUCUAGGGGCCGGGAGAAUGAGACCUUUCAUGAAAAGACUCGGUGGGGAUUGGCGAGUUCAUAGUAUUUCCAGACUGACUGAAGAAAACAAAAGAGCCAGGCGUUUGUUUGUAGGGGAGGAGCCUGAAGAGGCUGGAGAGAGUUGGGUAUUUAAACUUGUUUAUCGGUUGCAGCUCCUGUAUUGUGUGUCUUCCCAUGCGCCACAACUGUGCAAGGGCGGCUGGAGCGAGAGUGUUCGGACUUAAAGGGGUCAAAUGGCCCAGGAGUCCGAGCUUGGAAAGCCUCUUGCAGAGAACACUCCAAACCUAGGCUUCCUCCCUAGGAGGAGGGAAAGCUAGGGGCGGGCUGGGGCGCUCACCCCUGCUCAGCAUUUUCCAAGGUCUGUCAUUUAAAGACACAUCUUGGGUUACUAUUCUCACAGUUGGAGCGCUCCAUCCCAGAAUUCUGUUCCCCAAACCUUAGGAAUGAAAGUUCUCUUGGUAAAACCACCCGGAGUCCCUCCUAAGUAAACGCUGAGGCCAGAUGAAUUCCUCAUGUUGUCAAUACAUGAAGAGCUCAUUUUUAGAUUUAAUAAAGGAGUUGGGUUUUUUUUUCUAAUUCCUUGCUUGCAAAAAUAACGGUAGGUAAAUACCUGGCUAACUACCAUGUCCAUUUUACUCACUGAAGUUCAUUCCUUCUUGAGUUCAAUUAAAUUUGAUGCUGAGCCUCUCCAGUCUGGUGGUCCCAGCUUUAAGGGGGAGCCCAACCCACUGUAGGUGCAAAGUUUGAGGAUUUGAUUUUAUUUUAAAAUAUUUUAGCUGAAGUUGAUAAAGAGUAUGGUACCAUUAGAUAUAGUUGGGGGGAAAAAACCUAAUCUGAGAUCUUUAUCAAAAUUAACCUAGCAUGCUUCUAAAACAUAUGCUUCCCUUACUAGUAUUGUUUACAUUAAAAUGACUAUAUUAUUAAUUAAAUUAGCAAGUAUAUAUUGUUAUAGUUAAUAUAAAUGUUAGUAGCAGUGUUUGUUUUGUUUUUACCAGCUAAGAUAGUGUGAUCUUUGUUUUUGUUUUGUUUUGUAGCCCAGGCUGACUUUGAAAGGGUGAUUCUCCUGCCUCAGCCUCCUGAGUGCUAAGUUUACAGGCAUAUCCCGAUGAACAGUUAAAGUGUACUAUUGCCUUCCUAAAGAGAACAUUUUGUUUGGAUAGAGGUUUAAUUUAAUAUCAAUACCAGAACUGUUUUAUACAAGUUGUAUUUAGUAUUUUGAUUUUUGGAGGUCUAGUAUUAUUCAUUAAGGUAAUGUUUCUUAUUUUCUUUCUUUUUAAUAUUUUUUCACAGUAAAGUAAGUUGUUCCUAUCCUUUUUGUCCUUUUUCAAAGACUUGGGGGAUAUUUUUUUCCAUAAAUUUUGAAUACAUGAGGACUUCUAAAGAUAGGUAUUUGAUAUAAACAAGAAUAAAACAUAUUACUAUUUGAAAUUCCCCAUAGCUAGACUAACUCUAUGCUCUUGCCAUAGACAGUUUCGUCCUAGUUCAGCCACUAAAACCUAAUUCAUAGAGAGGACGGGAACAAAAUAACAGCAUCAGAGUCAAUCAAAACCUGCCAGAACAAGGAAGGAUUCCUGCCAUACUGUCACGUUUUGUCUUGGGGAUUUAAAUCCAGAGAGAUGUCACAGCUUUGGUCUUUAUUGAAAGAUACUUAGAAUUCCUUAGAGCAGUUUCUUUGCUCUUAUACUUCUACACUGCCACAAUUCAAAUCACAUCUUUGUUUUUUUACUGAAAUACAUGGCCAUGUAUUUAAAAAGCCAAACAGAAAAUAAACUAAAAAACAAACAAAAAAACAAAAUAUUAAGAAUUCCAGAGGUGCUUAUCUCAGGCAACCAGAGAAAUACAUUCAAAUUUUAUUUUUAACCAGAGCCAAUACUGUAACUUUCUAAUUGAAUUGAGUUUUGUUUUAAAUACUGACAGAACAUAAAAAAACAAGCUGACUUUCUGGUGACAGGUAUAUCCAAGCUAAAGGCUUAUCUCUGUUCCCUUGAUAAACAAGUCUUCCUGCUGAGGGCAGUUUUGCCCGGGGCUGGACUGUAAUCAGUGCUCGGCUACUGAGCACUUUAGAAAGCCCUUCACAUCGUCCCGCUGAGAAGCCCUCUGUAGAAGUUUGUGAAGGAGUCAGGCAAGCUGGAACUUGUGUUCAGAAUCUGAGCUGCAGGUUAAAACAGGCGACUAAGCACCGUUUUCAAAGGAUUUUUCCUCAACCGCCAGAAUUCAGGAUGUUUUGAAAGCUGAGGGACUAAGGCUACCAAUGCAGACCUGGGUAGAAUUGGUGACUGUCAGUACAUCCAAUGUAUAAUUACUAAAAUAAUGCAGGCAUCUUUUCAAGUGUCUAGCUUCCUACAUCUGUCUUUUUAAACUAUGAUAUUCAGUUAGCAUUAUAUUUGUAAAAUAUCCAACAUUAUUAAAUCAUGAAUAUAAUCAGAUAUAAGACCAAUAAAAGUAAUCUUGACUAUAUAUUUCUAUAAGUGCUAUGUUUAUCCGUAAAAUGUGGAGUCAUCAUAAUUCCUUUUUCUUCGAUAUGUGCACAUAAUUUUAUGUGAACUGUCUAAUAAAAGUAAAUAGAAUUAUAGCAAGCACCGUUAUGAAAGAAAUGCCAGAAGUGUUGGUCUACUUUUGUGAAAACGAUUUUUGAGAUUAAUAUAUAGAGAAAACAUUUUUAAGUAAAAAUCUGAGUCCUGUAAUUU
This 2902-nucleotide long non-coding RNA is filed under the name Mus musculus (house mouse). Its description in RNAcentral is "long non-coding RNA chr6:49219800-49222702". The record is from RNAcentral. Lineage: Eukaryota; Metazoa; Chordata; Mammalia; Rodentia; Muridae.